RNAcentral lists this long non-coding RNA (617 nucleotides) under Salmo trutta (river trout). RNAcentral describes it as "lncRNA (ENSSTUG00000035573.1)". Lineage: Eukaryota; Metazoa; Chordata; Actinopteri; Salmoniformes; Salmonidae. The record is from RNAcentral.
AAUAACCCUGCAAGCAUUCAAAUAGAUUCAAUGAAUCGGACAGCCCGGUCCUGGUGUACCGUCACGUGGACCAAGAUGGCCAGGAGAGGACCCUGGGUCUGGAGACACCCGGGUGGCAGCGUGGUGGGGACAGAGACAGUCUCCAUGCCUUGGUUAACACCCUCAAUGCCCAGCACCAGGCCAGACUGGACAGCUUCAGGGACAUGGCCAGGGUGGACAUGGCCAGGGUGGACAGCCUCCUCACCCAGUCCUCCCAGACCCAUGCCAGGCUGGCUAAGCUGAUGCCCGCUGCCCUGCUGGAGUCUCGGUUCCGCCAGGCGCCCCGUGGGCAUGGAGCCGUCAGCCUGUUGGCACAGCCGGAGCAGGAGGUACGGGUGGAGAAUGCUCCAGUCUCAGCACGCUAUAUCGUCACCGUGGUGAGUAGAGUGUAGAUAUAUCCCACCUACACUCUGAGAUGUAUAGAUGGGUCAUUCCACCAGUGCCUUUUCAGAUGUGUAACUUGGUAAAAAAUAAAGAAAAACAACAACAUUUGAUUUCACCUAAUUUUAACAUUCUGUCAUAAAGAGAUGCUCAACUUCAUAAAAUCAUAUUUUCCCAUUUCAAAAGGUUAAAUAAAC